Molecule: unclassified non-coding RNA, 193 nt
Filed under: uncultured Ascomycota
Lineage: Eukaryota; Fungi; Ascomycota
Description: sequence contains ITS1
Source: RNAcentral
ACGAGUUAGGGUCUCCCAGGCCCGAUCUCCCAACCCUUUGUUUACUUGACCAUCGUUGCUUCGGCGUGCCCGUCUCCAGGGACCGCCGGGGGACCGUGACACGUCUCCUGGCCCGCGCGCGCCGGUAGCCCAACCUCAAAAUUCUUUUUAACUAAACGUGUCUUAUCUAAGUACCAAAACUUAAUUAAAGCAA